CACCUAUUGUCUAUUGAUGGUGGUAUCCUCAAUGAAUAUAAAAAUGACAUUGGACCUGUGGCUACACAGACAUGGGUAUAAUGGAGUGUGUAGAGCAGUGGACUGAGUACACAGCCCUGAAGGCCACCUGUGCUGAAGGCCAGCAAGGGGCAGGUGUCAAUCCAUACUGAUUGAGGUCUUACCAUGAGGAAGUCCAGGAUCCAGUUGCAUCGGGAAGAUCAGAGGCUCAGUUCUCUGGGUUUGACGAUGAGUUUAGAGGGGAUGAUGGCAUUAAACACUGAACUGUAGUUGAUGAGCAACAUGUUCCUGUUGUCCAAGUGGUCUGGUGCAGAAUGGAGAACCAGCGUAAUUCAGAUUCAGAUUCAGAUUCAACUUUAAUUGUCAUUGUCAGUGUACAGUACAGAGACAGCGAAAUGCAGUUAGCAUCUCCCUGGAAGAGCGACAUGGAAUAUGAUUUCAAUAAAUAAAUCCAUUUCCAUGCAUACAGUCAUAGUGUUUUUCCUGUGGGAGGAGUGUCCGGGGGGGGGGUGAUUGGCAGUCACCGAGGUACAUUGUUGAGUAGUGUUCACUGUAUUCACUGUCAGUCCGUUACGGCGAUAGAUGAAUAUAAAUGCUCCCAGAUCGUUACUGAGGCAGGAGAUGAUUUGGUUCGUAACUAACUUAUUGAGGCACUUCAUGACAGUAGAUGCAAGUGUCUCAGAUUGGUAGUCGUUGAGGUUUGACACCUUACUCUUCUUGGACACCGGUACUAUGUGGCUUUUUAAAGGUAGGGGCCUCGAACCACAGUACUGAGAGAUUUAACAUAUGUAUAAUUGUUUGUUUGAGUUAAGUUGUUGAGUUUAAAGCAGUACUGAACCCAGUCUUCAUUCCAGACACUGGCUCCAAUAGCAAAUCCCACCCACAUCCCUACUGCCUGUGUUCCUGACCAUGACUCUAUGCACACCUGCCCCACACUCCCAGUCUUACAUGGCUGAUCUCCAGUACAUGGAUCCAUGAAUAAUAAGUCCACAGAUAAUGAGUACUUUGUGUACUAGUGAGGAAACCACAUGCCAAUCUAUCGGGAUUUUCAAUCAAUCGUAUACCUGACUGAUCUUUACAGACCCAGAAAUUGGAUGAACAGUCCCCCAGUCCUCGAGGACGCCGAAUCUUUGAUCCAAAAUCACUUAUUGUUCCCAAGCGAACUAGGCCUGCAGCAUUUAAUAUCUAAAAUGACUCACAUACUUUGCAUUAAUUGCAUUAACCCUGUAAUAAAUCAAUCUAAUUAAUGUAUUCAAUACAAACUGGUUCCACUUUCACCGAUUUCAUAGAUUGAUUGCUCCCUCGGUGAAAUAUUGGGAGUAGUUUUAAGCGUAACUGGAAGAGGGGACAGAGUAGCACUCCUAAUUUGCAGUAUCCCAUAUUCCAAUGAACCAGGUCACUUGCAUUCUCUUUCCAGUUUUACUGCAACUGCUGAUGUAAAAUUGCCCCACCUCAUUUCCACUGACUGGUUUUGAAAAUGGUCAAAACGUUAGAGAGCAAAUACCAAAUAAAGGGUCAGGUUAGCAUCUAAAAUAUAUCUGAAUAUUGCACAAAAUAUCAGCCCUAAAGUUGCCAACACACAAUGGACAAAUUAGAAUGAAGGACAAUUGGAGUGUGGGCAAAGAUGCGGAUCAAUUUGAUACACAGAAUUGCUUUGCUUGAGUUAGGUAAGAAGUAAAACAUCUUAAACUUGAUCCCAACCCACCUACUUUAACAGUAGCACAAGUAGAGCUGCUGCCUUAUAGCUCCAUCAGCCUGAGUUCAAUUCUGACUUCCAGUGUUUUCUGUGCGGUUUGUACAUUCUGCCUGUGAUGGUGUGGAUUUCCUCCCACAUUCCAGAGUUGAGCAGAUUGGUGGGUUAAUUGUCUACUGUAGACUGCCCCUGGUUUAUAGAUGAGUGAUAGAAUUUAGGAGGAUUUGAUGAUAUUGAGGGGGGUGACUAAUAUGCUUGACGACCAGGUAUGGACUUGAUGGGCCUAAGUGCCUGUUUCUGUGCUACGUCUCUUCUUGACUCGAUGACGAAUGUUGUGCACCAGCCUGUUCCAAACAAGUGGGUCAUUCAUAGAGUCAUACAGCAUCGAAACAAACACAGACCCAACUCUUCAAUGCCGAUCAAGGUGCCCCAUCUAAGUUAGUUCCAUUUGCUCACAUUUGCCACAAAUCUCUCUGAACCCUUCCUUUCUUUGCACCUGUCCAAAUGUUGUUUCAAUGCUGUAAUUGUACCUGCCUCUGUCAAGUCAAGUCAAGUUAAGUCAAGCCUGGCAGCUUGUUCCGUGCACCCAUUACCCUCUGUGUAAAAAGAUUGUCUCUAUUCCCCUUUGACCUUAAACCUAUGCCCUCUAGAUUUUAAUUCCCCUAUUCUGGAAAACCACUGUGUAUUCACACUAUCUAUUCCCCUCAUGUGCAGGGAGAUGAGAUUAGUUUACAUUGACAUCAUGUUUAGCACAGACAUUGUGAGUUGAAGGGCUUGUAUCUAUGCUGCACUUUUCUGUGUUCUAUAUAUACAUCCAUGUGUGAUAUGUAGGUAACUACUUUGAUGUUCAAAUUGAUGCUGAUAAAAAAUAAUUGACUAUAAGAUUAAACCAUGUCGUAAUUAUUGACAGUUCUUGGGAUAUUGAUACGAGGUCUCCCUCAAUUAUUAAUUGUCAAGAAAGGUACCAAGCCUGAAUUAUUAAAUGCAAAGGAACAAUUCCAUCGAUGAAGAAACUCCAUUAUAUCUCUACAGAUAUAGAAGCUUUGGAACAACUCAGAUCUCUUGGUGAAGUAAAGGGUCUUCCUCUACACGUGACAUUCAUGCACAGUGCCACAGCGGGUAGAGUCCCUGACUCAUAGCGCCAGAGACCAGGGUUCCAUCCUGACCUCGUGUGCUGUCUGUGAAGUUUGCACGUUCUCCCUGUGAAGUCCGAAGAAGGAUCUCGACCCGAAAUGCCACCUAUUCUUUUUCUGCAGGGAUGCUGUCUGGCUCGACUCAAGACCAAGUUCCCAAGAGGUACAUUGAAUGAUUAUUAUACAAAAUAAAAUGCAGCCCUGGAGAGAUUGCAUCUGGUUGACUGUGUUCAGGUCUGUUCUCUCUACUGAAGGAAAGAUAUAUGUGCGAUAAUAGGAUGACUCCUAGAGUGGUCGGGGAGGGGUGGUGGGGGGAUUGAUCUAACGUGGAGGGAUUAACCUGUUUACUGACAAAAAAAAAUUCCACUAUUGCCCAUGGCCUGAGUAUACUCAGAGGUGGCACUGAACAGGUUAAGCUGACAUAGGCUGUACUUUUAAAAAAAGACAAUAGUGAUCUCAUUGAAAUGUAACAAAAUUCUUAAAGGGUAAAUGAGAGAUUGAUUUUUCCUGCUUGCUGUGGUAGCCAGAUCAAGGGUGAAUAAUCUUAAAGUAAAGGGUUGGUUAUUCAGGACUGAUAUAAGAACAAAUAUCUUCACUCAGAGAUAGUGGAUGUAUGCAAUUCUCUACCCACAAGAGCUGUGCAGAUUAGUGACUGAAUAUAUUCAAGGCAGAAAUAAGAGUAUUAUUGUAUAGCCUCGAGCUAUACAGCAAAGAAGAAGAAUGCCAAGAGGGUAUUCCAGACUGCUGGACAUGGCACUGGAAUAAAAGAUCAGCCAUAUUCUUA
This is a long non-coding RNA of Leucoraja erinaceus (little skate), 3628 nucleotides long. RefSeq lists it as uncharacterized. The record is from RefSeq and is a predicted model, not a curated record. The transcript has 3 exons. Lineage: Eukaryota; Metazoa; Chordata; Chondrichthyes; Rajiformes; Rajidae.